This is a long non-coding RNA of Xiphophorus couchianus (Monterrey platyfish), 2006 nucleotides long. RefSeq lists it as uncharacterized. The transcript is spliced from 2 exons. NCBI's taxonomy places the organism in Eukaryota, Metazoa, Chordata, Actinopteri, Cyprinodontiformes, Poeciliidae. The record is from RefSeq and is a predicted model, not a curated record.
UCUGUGCUUAAAAGGUGUUGGAUCAGAAAGUCGAAUCUUAUGUUUCACUGCAGUUGUGUGUCCAAAAUCAAGUUCUCCUCUGGCAAAAACUUCAGGGAUGGAAUUAAGAGUAUUUGAAAUUCUAGUUUUCCAUUCCUCGGAGAGUGGAGAAUCAGCAAAGUCAAACUGAAUGUGUUCACUUUGAGUCACUUCAUAAGCAGUACAACAUGUGGCAAUACUGCCUAUUUGUCCUUCAGGUUCUUCUUCCCCUUUAUUGUUAGAGGUAGGAACAGGAGAGGAGACUGACAAAGGGAAAGAGACUUUUGCCAAGACUUGAUGAGCGGGAACAACUAUGUCAUGGUUAGUCUCAUUUUUCAGAAGGAUGGGGACUUUAAAUGAAGUCUGUCGUGGACUUGACAUGAUGUAACUGCAGAGUAUCACACCGCUUGGUAAACCUCGUUGGCUGACUGGCUCUACUAAGAGUAUAGCGCCUUGCUCUGCAGGGACAUUUCUCACACGACCAUCUAAUAUGGCAUGAAGUUGCCUAAUGAGGGGAACAUGAGUACAGUCCUCAGGGAUAUUCAUAUGCUCACUGAAGUCUUCAUACAAAAUAUCCAGAGCAUUUGUUCCAAUCAGGACUGGAAUUUCUGAAUUGGCUCUGUUGUCCGGAACAAUUAGAGCUAGGACUUUGACCAGUUUCUCCUCACCUGUGAAACUCUGAGGGAAAGUGAUGUCGAUCUCAAUAUACCCCAGAUAAGGAACAAUUUGACCCGCAGCUCCUUCUACUUCGAGGAGGUUAUCCAAGGAGAAGAGGGGAUAUGAAGACAAGUGAGUCUCCUGGAAGGAUUUGGAGAUGGUGGUAACUUGCGACCCAGAAUCAAUAAGGCAGGUGUGCUUUAUUUCUCCAAUCGAUAAAUCCACAGCAGCUCUUGAGCCAACUAAUCCACCUGGCAGCUGGGCUUGGCGGUUCCCACCAUGUUGACAGUUAUUUUGACAAUGUUCUUUGGGGGUGGGACUCUUUGGAAUAUUUCUGGUUCCAGUAUGUCCCAUUACUGGAACCUGUUCCAGUUUAACGACUGACUGGUGUGCUUACUCUUCCAUUCUUAUUGUUUAGCCUUCAGUUCUUUGUAUUUCUGAUCAACAGCAGCUUUGUUAAUGGGGUUUUCACAGUUCCUUGCUAUGUGCCCAUCUUCGCCACACCUAAAACAGAACCAAGCUUUAGGCUGAGGUCUUUCUGAAAACUGCCGUGCAACUUGCUGAACUUGGCUUUCUGCUGUUGGCAGUUCGUGGUUUUCUUCAGCAGCCUUCUGGUUUUUUUUUUUCUGCUUUUUGGAGGGUUUUGUGGAGAGCUGUAAUUGCAACCCAACCACCUGUUUCCUCAACUUCUCAGUCUCAGAGAUGUAUGUCUGUAAAACUUCAGAACCGGGUUCAGGACAAGGAGGUGUCAGGUCAUGAAGUGAGUUGACAUUUGCAAUGGGCUUUGCCUUGGAAGACCCAAAAUGGCGAUGCAUUCUGUCGAGCUUAGAGGAUCGCUUAUCUUCUUCGGUGCGUAUCUGCAACAGGAGUUCAGCAAAGUCAUGCAUAGCUUCUUUGUUUAUUUCUAAUUGCAAGAUCAAAUUGGGAUCCCAACAUCCUCUUUUAAAUUGUUUCAAGAGGUGACGAUUUGCAUCUGCUGCAUUCACACCAUUUCUUUUAAUAGCAGUGCUUAAAAGACCCUGUAGCCUCUGUAGAUAUUCAGAUGCCUUCUCACCUGGAUUUUGGUUUGUGCUCAGGAACUUAGCAAAUAUUUCCUCACCAUCCUCCACAAGGCCGUAAGCAGCAUCAAGCAGUUUUACAUAUUCUCUUGGGUGCGCUGAGUAACCAAGUUGUUUCACGACGUCAGAUGCUGGGGGGAGCAAACUUUCCAGUAUUUUUCUCCGGGUCACAUCGUCUGAAGUGCCAUCAUUAAACAGUAGCUCAACAUGCAGGCCCCAUGUUUCAUAAUCUGCUUCGCCUGGAGGUUUUGGUACUCUUCCUGAGAAUGGCCG